RNAcentral lists this ribosomal RNA (250 nucleotides) under uncultured bacterium. Its description in RNAcentral is "partial 16S ribosomal RNA". It matches the Rfam family "Bacterial small subunit ribosomal RNA", at positions 102 to 334 of the family's 1533-position model. The record is from RNAcentral.
AGAUGGCGACCGGCGCGACGGGUGAGUAACACGUAUCCAACCUGCCGAUAACGUCGGGGAUAGCCUUUACGAAAGAAAGAUUAAUACCCGAUGGUAUAAUCAGACCGCAUGGUCUUGUUAUUAAAGAAUUUCGAUAACCGAUGGGGAUGCGUUCCAUUAGUUUGUUGGCGGGGUAACGGCCCACCAAGACAUCGAUGGAUAGGGGUUCUGAGAGGAAGGUCCCCCACAUUGGAACUGAGACACGGUCCAA